AGUGAACGCUGGCGGUAGGCCUAACACAUGCAAGUCGAACGGCAGCACAGUAAGAGCUUGCUCUUACGGGUGGCGAGUGGCGGACGGGUGAGGAAUACAUCGGAAUCUACUUUUUCGUGGGGGAUAACGUAGGCGAACUUACGCUAAUACCGCAUACGACCUACGGGUGAAAGCAGGGGAUCUUCGGACCUUGCGCGAUUGUAUGAGCCGAUGUCGGAUUAGCUAGUUGGCGGGGUAAAGGCCCACCAAGGCGACGAUCCGUAGCUGGUCUGAGAGGAUGAUCAGCCACACUGGAACUGAGACACGGUCCAGACUCCUACGGGAGGCAGCAGUGGGGAAUAUUGGACAAUGGGCGCAAGCCUGAUCCAGCCAUACCGCGUGGGUGAAGAAGGCCUUCGGGUUGUAAAGCCCUUUUGUUGGGAAAGAAAAGCAGCAGGUUAAUACCCCGCUGUUCUGACGGUACCAAAAGAAUAAGCACCGGCUAACUUCGUG
Molecule: ribosomal RNA, 492 nt
Filed under: uncultured bacterium
Lineage: Bacteria
Description: partial 16S ribosomal RNA
Rfam family: Bacterial small subunit ribosomal RNA
Source: RNAcentral